This 272-nucleotide ribosomal RNA is filed under the name uncultured Anaerococcus sp. Its description in RNAcentral is "partial 16S ribosomal RNA". It matches the Rfam family "Bacterial small subunit ribosomal RNA", at positions 524 to 796 of the family's 1533-position model. Lineage: Bacteria; Bacillati; Bacillota; Tissierellia; Tissierellales; Peptoniphilaceae. The record is from RNAcentral.
UACGUAAGGACCGAGCGUUGUCCGGAAUCAUUGGGCGUAAAGGGUACGUAGGCGGGUUUUUAAGUUAGAAGUCAAAGGCUAUAGCUCAACUAUAGUAAGCUUCUAAAACUGGGGACCUUGAGUAAUGGAAGGGAAAGUGGAAUUCCUAGUGUAGCGGUGGAAUGCGCAGAUAUUAGGAGGAAUACCGGUGGCGAAGGCGACUUUCUGGCCAUUAACUGACGCUGAGGUACGAAAGCGUGGGUAGCAAACAGGAUUAGAUACCCCCGUAGUCC